This 463-nucleotide ribosomal RNA is filed under the name uncultured bacterium. RNAcentral's name for it is "bacterial SSU rRNA". It matches the Rfam family "Bacterial small subunit ribosomal RNA", at positions 198 to 644 of the family's 1533-position model. The record is from RNAcentral.
UGAGGAAAGUAGGGGAUCGCAAGACCUUGCGCUUAAGGAGCGGCCGAUGCCUGAUUAGCUAGUUGGUGGGGUAAAGGCCUACCAAGGCAACGAUCAGUAGUUGGUCUGAGAGGACGACCAACCACACUGGGACUGAGACACGGCCCAGACUCCUACGGGAGGCAGCAGUGGGGAAUUUUGGACAAUGGGCGCAAGCCUGAUCCAGCCAUGCCGCGUGAGUGAAGAAGGCCUUCGGGUUGUAAAGCUCUUUCAGUUGGGAAGAAACGAUUGCAACUAAUAAUUGUAAUUAAUGACGGUACCGACAGAAGAAGCACCGGCUAACUACGUGCCAGCAGCCGCGGUAAUACGUAGGGUGCGAGCGUUAAUCGGAAUUACUGGGCGUAAAGGGUGCGCAGGCGGUUUUGUAAGUCAGAUGUGAAAUCCCCGGGCUUAACCUGGAAUGCGUUUGAAACUACAAAGCUAG